Non-coding RNA from Procambarus clarkii (red swamp crayfish), 573 nucleotides. The record is from RefSeq and is a predicted model, not a curated record. NCBI's taxonomy places the organism in Eukaryota, Metazoa, Arthropoda, Malacostraca, Decapoda, Cambaridae.
AUUUCCUCGUGUUGAAGGUGACAGAGCUGCCGUCCUCUGGUUGAAGGUGACAAGAGUUGCCAUCCUCCAGUUGAAGGUGACAGAGCUGCCAUCCUCUGGUUGAAGGUGACAGAGUUGCCAUCCUCCAGUUGAAGGUGACAAAGCUGCCUUCCUCUGGUUGAAGGUGACAAAGCUGCCUCCCUCUUGUUGAAGGAGACAGAGAAGUGCCAUCCUCAUGUUGAAGGUGACAGUAGGUGCCGUCCUUCUGCUUCAGGUGACACAUUGCUGAUUUCCUCCAUCAACAAAUGUGUUGCUGGCACAGUGCCCCCAUACUCCUGACGGAGGGGUGGGGGGGGGGGACAGUAGUAGUACCCAACUCCUGCUGUUGAACGCCCGCAGCUGCCAUCUCUUACUAAUAUAGGCGGGCUGCUGUCCGCUUUUUGCUGGUCUGAGAUAUUUACACUGGCGGGCGGCGUUCUUGCCAACUAUAUGCUGUUAAGUUGAACAUUGUAACUGUUAAGAGCAUUCUAUUGUGGUUUUAAUAUUGAACAAUUAUACAUAUACGAAACAGACAAAUCUGGUGUCCGAAAUAGU